This 255-nucleotide ribosomal RNA is filed under the name uncultured bacterium. RNAcentral describes it as "partial 16S ribosomal RNA". It matches the Rfam family "Bacterial small subunit ribosomal RNA", at positions 334 to 605 of the family's 1533-position model. The record is from RNAcentral.
GAUACCUACGGGAGGCAGCAGUGGGGAAUAUUGCACAAUGGGGGAAACCCUGAUGCAGCGACGCCGCGUGAGUGAAGAAGUAUUUCGGUAUGUAAAGCUCUAUCAGCAGGGAAGAAGCAAGACGGUACCUGACUAAGAAGCCCCGGCUAACUACGUGCCAGCAGCCGCGGUAAUACGUAGGGGGCAAGCGUUAUCCGGAUUUACUGGGUGUAAAGGGAGCGUAGACGGUAUGGCAAGUCUGAAGUGAAAGCCCAG